This 67-nucleotide transfer RNA is filed under the name Callopistes maculatus. RNAcentral describes it as "tRNA-Arg". Lineage: Eukaryota; Metazoa; Chordata; Lepidosauria; Squamata; Teiidae. The record is from RNAcentral.
ACGAGACUAGUUUAACCAAAACAAAUGAUUUCGGCUCAUUAAAUCCCACCCCCCCCUGGGGCUCGUC